UCGUGCUAGACUGGGUGUUAGCGGUACCCUGUAGCCCGCAAUCCGCUAUAGCGGGGUUGAAUUCCUUCGCUUAGAGAUAGUAGCUUCAGAUUACGAUGGCGCAGUAUGCGGUGUUGAUGGUCAGGUCCUGCGCAACGGAUCCUUGCUGAACCCCGUCAGGACCGGAAGGUAGCAGCGGUAAGCGAUCAGGCCCGUGUGCCGCAGGGUUACCUGGCAGGAGCUAGCGCUGGGUCAUCGGACCUGCGGCGUAUCUUGAGGCAAGGUGCACGA
RNAcentral lists this signal recognition particle RNA (270 nucleotides) under Gemmatimonadota bacterium. RNAcentral's name for it is "Gemmatimonadetes bacterium signal recognition particle sRNA large type". It matches the Rfam family "Bacterial large signal recognition particle RNA". From Rfam's summary of the family: The signal recognition particle (SRP) is a universally conserved ribonucleoprotein involved in the co-translational targeting of proteins to membranes. Archaeal SRP consists of a 7S RNA and homologues of the eukaryotic SRP19 and SRP54 proteins. The record is from RNAcentral. Lineage: Bacteria; Pseudomonadati; Gemmatimonadota.